This 491-nucleotide ribosomal RNA is filed under the name uncultured bacterium. RNAcentral describes it as "bacterial SSU rRNA". It matches the Rfam family "Bacterial small subunit ribosomal RNA", at positions 21 to 518 of the family's 1533-position model. The record is from RNAcentral.
GGCUCAGGAUGAACGCUGGCGGCGUGCUUAACACAUGCAAGUCGAACGAAGCCAAAAGGAAGCUUGCUUCUUGAAGCUUAGUGGCGGACGGGUGAGUAACGCGUGAGGAACCUGCCCUUCAGUGGGGAAUAACAGCCGGAAACGACUGCUAAUACCGCAUAACGUCGGAGUGCCGCAUGACACACCGACCAAAGGAUUUAUUCGCUGAAGGAUGGCCUCGCGUCCGAUUAGGCAGUUGGUGAGGUAACGGCCCCACCAAACCUACGAUCGGUAGCCGAACUGAGAGGUUGAUCGGCCACAUUGGGACUGAGACACGGCCCAGACUCCUACGGGAGGCAGCAGUGGGGAAUAUUGGGCAAUGGGCGAAAGCCCUGACCCAGCAACGCCGCGUGAAGGAAGACGGUCUUCGGAUUGUAAACUUCUUUGAUUGGGGAAGAACACAAUGACCUACCCAAAGAACAAGUCACGGCUAACUACGUGCCAGCCGCCGC